RNAcentral lists this ribosomal RNA (408 nucleotides) under Triticum aestivum (bread wheat). RNAcentral describes it as "partial small subunit ribosomal RNA". The record is from RNAcentral. Lineage: Eukaryota; Viridiplantae; Streptophyta; Magnoliopsida; Poales; Poaceae.
AUGCUUGACAGAUUAACAAAAUCUAAAGGAGGAAUAAUGGAGAUCCAUUUUGAGGCAGGUUUAAAAAGGCCACGUGAUGCUACAAAGUUAGCCAAGUUAGUAUCAGAGGCAACCGUUGCUGUUAGGUGUCAUGCAUGUAUCCUCCCAACGUGGAUCCAGUACAGGAAUGAGAAAGACAAUACCCAGUUUAACACCUUCCUUGAGCAUUUAUCCAUGAAGUUCAAGUUCGAUCCGAAAGAUGAUGCAACUAAACAAGCAUGCACUCAUGUUUUUCAGUCUGCUCUGCGACAGUAUCGAUACCACCUUACAAAAUCUCACUUUGAAGGCAAGGCUAACAAUGAAAUCGCCCAAACAUCUCCAGUGGAAUAUAUUACAGAUGAAGACUGGACAGCCCUCGUUAAACACUGG